Molecule: long non-coding RNA, 1061 nt
Filed under: Felis catus (domestic cat)
Lineage: Eukaryota; Metazoa; Chordata; Mammalia; Carnivora; Felidae
Description: lncRNA (ENSFCAG00000044814.2)
Source: RNAcentral
AUGAGAGGGAGUAGAUGUAUCCCGGAGAGAACAUAUACCUACAUUAUCUCAACUGGACUUCACUCCCUGAUGCCUCUUAUCUUGCUGCCUGUUCCUGGGAGCAGCAAAGUCCUUCUGUGGGCGACCGCAACCUCCGCGUGGGUCCGUAAUGACAAGGUGACUUCAAAGAUGGCAGAUUAUAGGGGCAGAUCUGCAUGCUGUAUCUGACUGACACUCAACCAGGGAUACCAGAAGUGUUUUCUCCAUGGUUGGUGGUAUAUUACUGCUUCUUAAAGACCAAUCAUACCCAGCAGUCCAAGGUCAUCAACUCCUCUGCAGAUGAAGUGAGCUACAAAGAGCAAAAGAAGACCAAUGCAUUUCAACAGAAAAACAUCCGCCCUACUUAGCAAGGCAGAAGCCCACCUCUAAAACAUUUUUAACCCAAGGUUGCUUUAUAAUUAGUCCUACAAGUCCAACAGUAUUACACUCUCAUUGUCUAUUGUUGGUUUUGACAUAAGUUCAAACCUUAAAAUAUAUACUAGAAUUUCCAAGUUACAUACUCUGGAAACAUAAUUGAGUUUCUGUAUUAGGAUGAAAUCUCUUCAGUUUUGUGUAUUUGGGUAUGAAAUCUCAAACCCAGUCACUGUGAUACAAAGAGUGUAGGAGAACAAGGAGAGGAUACCAAGCCUCCGGGAGCCAUGAUAGGGGAAUUAUCCAUGCAAACAGACAAAUGUCUUCUGAAUUUAAUAUGUUAGCACAGUCGUAGGUAAGUGAUUUAAUGCAGCUCUUAAAUGCAGCCCCUGUGUUGUCACUGCUCCCACUUAAGAGUAGCUCAGCUUUGCCCUGUUUGUUAGAAAGGGACCCCUGUCCUGCCCACGGAGCACAGGGCUGCUAAGUAGCACCAGCUCUCCACCAUCUGGGAGCUAUGCUUCCUAACCCAGAGCCUCUCACCCUUAAUUUCCACUCAACUUUCAGGAGGAAGACUAUAUUUAGGUCAGUAAGGAUAUGACCAAAAAUAAGUAAACAAAUAGGGAUUAAAAAUAGGAAAUAAAUAUGAACUCCAAUGGAGUAAAACUUCCUAU